This 232-nucleotide RNase P RNA is filed under the name Sphingomonadaceae bacterium. RNAcentral describes it as "partial RNase P RNA component class A". It matches the Rfam family "Bacterial RNase P class A", at positions 141 to 367 of the family's 367-position model. From Rfam's summary of the family: Ribonuclease P (RNase P) is a ubiquitous endoribonuclease, found in archaea, bacteria and eukarya as well as chloroplasts and mitochondria. Its best characterised activity is the generation of mature 5'-ends of tRNAs by cleaving the 5'-leader elements of precursor-tRNAs. Cellular RNase Ps are ribonucleoproteins. The record is from RNAcentral. Lineage: Bacteria; Pseudomonadati; Pseudomonadota; Alphaproteobacteria; Sphingomonadales; Sphingomonadaceae.
GCGGAGGGUAAGGGUGAAAGGGUGCGGUAAGAGCGCACCGCGCUUCCAGCAAUGGCGGCGGCAUGGCAAACCCCACCGGGAGCAAAACCGAAUAGGGGCGGCACAUGGGCCUGAUCCGGCCCGUCGCCCGGGUUGGUUGCUUGAGGCGGCUGGUAACAGCCGUCCUAGAGGAAUGGCCGUCCAGGCGGGGCAACCCGCCGGACAGAACCCGGCUUACAGAUCCUCUGGCCUA